GUGACAGACAGCGGGCUCUGAGCGCCCACGGCAGCGAGGCCUCCCUGCAAAGGCCUCUGUGGAGCCCCUCUGUCCCUGACCCUCCCGCUGCCUGGAGAAUGUUCAAGCUGGAAUUCUGUAACACAUGUCAAUAUGUGGGAGUUCCUUUAAAAACUACUCUGAAUGGAAGGCUUGAUUAUUAAUGUGGAGAUUGGGAGCUGAAUGCAGAUGGAUCAGAUGCUCAUCCCUUCCAAACCCUGAGUGUCUGGACUCUUCUGGAACAUCGAGUUUGCUGUUGUGUCCC
Long non-coding RNA from Lepidothrix coronata (blue-crowned manakin), 283 nucleotides. RefSeq lists it as uncharacterized. The record is from RefSeq and is a predicted model, not a curated record. The transcript is spliced from 3 exons. Lineage: Eukaryota; Metazoa; Chordata; Aves; Passeriformes; Pipridae.